Molecule: long non-coding RNA, 186 nt
Organism: Choloepus didactylus (southern two-toed sloth)
Lineage: Eukaryota; Metazoa; Chordata; Mammalia; Pilosa; Megalonychidae
Exons: 3
Source: RefSeq, a predicted model, not a curated record
GGGAAAGAUGAAAGAGCUGAGACACUGGUGACGUCAGGAACUGCUGCACCAGCCCUGGACUCGGACUUUAAUUACAUCUUCAUAACAUGAAGGAUGGAGAGAAAAAUAAUUAUUAUUCACCAUAUCCUGUAAAGAUGAAGACUUUUUUGACUUCGAAGUGAUUGGAAUUAGUUGAGAAUACAUGGA